GAUGAACGCUGGCGGCGUGCCUAAUACAUGCAAGUCGAGCGAACGGACGAGAAGCUUGCUUCUCUGAUGUUAGCGGCGGACGGGUGAGUAACACGUGGAUAACCUACCUAUAAGACUGGGAUAACUUCGGGAAACCGGAGCUAAUACCGGAUGAUAUUUUGAACCGCAUGGUUCAAAAGUGAAAGACGGUCUUGCUGUCACUUAUAGAUGGAUCCGCGCUGCAUUAGCUAGUUGGUAAGGUAACGGCUUACCAAGGCAACGAUGCAUAGCCGACCUGAGAGGGUGAUCGGCCACACUGGAACUGACACACGGUCCAGACUCCUACGGGAGGCAGCAGUAGGGAAUCUUCCGCAAUGGGCGAAAGCCUGACGGAGCAACGCCGCGUGAGUGAUGAAGGUCUUCGGAUCGUAAAACUCUGUUAUUAGGGAAGAACAUAUGUGUAAGUAACUGUGCACAUCUUGACGGUACCUAAUCAGAAAGCCACGGCUAACUACGUG
This 497-nucleotide ribosomal RNA is filed under the name uncultured bacterium. RNAcentral's name for it is "partial 16S ribosomal RNA". It matches the Rfam family "Bacterial small subunit ribosomal RNA", at positions 28 to 507 of the family's 1533-position model. The record is from RNAcentral.